AUUGAACGCUGGCGGCGGGCCUAACACAUGCAAGUCGAACGGUAACGGGAUGCAGUUUUCUGCUUCGCGGACGGGGGGCGGGUGGGUGAGAAGUGUCUGGCAAGCUCCUGGCUGUGGGGGGAUAACUACUGGAAAGGGUAGCUAAUACCGCGUAAUGUCGGAAGACCAAAGAGGGGGGCCUUGGGGCCGCUGGCCAUGGUGUGCGCCCGGAUGGGAUUCGCUUGUUGGUGGGGUAACGGUUCACCGAGGCGAACAUCUGGAGGUGGUCUGAGAGGAUGACCAGCCACACUGGAACUGAGACACGGUCCAGACUCCUACGGGAGGCAGCAGUGGGCAAUAUUGCACAAUGGGCGCAAGCCUGAUGCAGCCAUGGCGAGUGUAUGGAGACAGCCUUCGGGUUGUAAAGUACUUUCAGCGAGGAGGAAGGGAGUAAAGUUAAUACCUUUCCUCAUUGACGUUACCCGCAGAAGAAGCACCGGCUAACUCCGUG
This 490-nucleotide ribosomal RNA is filed under the name uncultured bacterium. RNAcentral's name for it is "partial 16S ribosomal RNA". It matches the Rfam family "Bacterial small subunit ribosomal RNA", at positions 30 to 507 of the family's 1533-position model. The record is from RNAcentral.